RNAcentral lists this ribosomal RNA (996 nucleotides) under uncultured bacterium. RNAcentral's name for it is "bacterial SSU rRNA". It matches the Rfam family "Bacterial small subunit ribosomal RNA", at positions 356 to 1376 of the family's 1533-position model. The record is from RNAcentral.
GGGGAAUAUUGCACAAUGGGGGAAACCCUGAUGCAGCGACGCCGCGUGGAGGAAGAAGGUCUUCGGAUUGUAAACUCCUGUUGUUGAGGAAGAUAAUGACGGUACUCAACAAGGAAGUGACGGCUAACUACGUGCCAGCAGCCGCGGUAAAACGUAGGUCACAAGCGUUGUCCGGAAUUACUGGGUGUAAAGGGAGCGCAGGCGGGAGAACAAGUUGGAAGUGAAAUCCAUGGGCUCAACCCAUGAACUGCUUUCAAAACUGUUUUUCUUGAGUAGUGCAGAGGUAGGCGGAAUUCCCGGUGUAGCGGUGGAAUGCGUAGAUAUCGGGAGGAACACCAGUGGCGAAGGCGGCCUACUGGGCACCAACUGACGCUGAGGCUCGAAAGUGUGGGUAGCAAACAGGAUUAGAUACCCUGGUAGUCCACACCGUAAACGAUGAUUACUAGGUGUUGGAGGAUUGACCCCUUCAGUGCCGCAGUUAACACAAUAAGUAAUCCACCUGGGGAGUACGACCGCAAGGUUGAAACUCAAAGGAAUUGACGGGGGCCCGCACAAGCAGUGGAGUAUGUGGUUUAAUUCGACGCAACGCGAAGAACCUUACCAAGUCUUGACAUCCGUUGACCGACAUAGAAAUAUGUUUUUCCUUCGGGACAGCGAGACAGGUGGUGCAUGGUUGUCGUCAGCUCGUGUCGUGAGAUGUUGGGUUAAGUCCCGCAACGAGCGCAACCCUUAUGGUCAGUUACUACGCAAGAGGACUCUGGCCAGACUGCCGUUGACAAAACGGAGGAAGGUGGGGAUGACGUCAAAUCAUCAUGCCCUUUAUGACUUGGGCUACACACGUACUACAAUGGCGUUAAACAAAGAGAAGCAAGACCGCGAGGUGGAGCAAAACUCAGAAACAACGUCCCAGUUCGGACUGCAGGCUGCAACUCGCCUGCACGAAGUCGGAAUUGCUAGUAAUCGCGCAUCAGCCACGGCGCGGUGAAUACGUUCCCG